UCGUAUGCCAAACAGGGUUGGGCCUGGUUAGUACCUGAAUGGGAGACCGCUUGGGAAUACCAGGUGCUGUAAGUU
RNAcentral lists this ribosomal RNA (75 nucleotides) under Oryzias latipes (Japanese medaka). The record is from RNAcentral. Lineage: Eukaryota; Metazoa; Chordata; Actinopteri; Beloniformes; Adrianichthyidae.